Molecule: RNA transcript, 5206 nt
Organism: Eucalyptus grandis
Lineage: Eukaryota; Viridiplantae; Streptophyta; Magnoliopsida; Myrtales; Myrtaceae
Gene name: E3 ubiquitin-protein ligase UPL7
Exons: 15
Source: RefSeq, a predicted model, not a curated record
AGAGAGAGAGAGAAGAGCUGACGAUAUCAAGGGGAGGAAGAAGACGAACGACGGUGGAGAUGAUUCAAAUUGCAGUUGCAUCGGGAAGGAAGCCUCUAGACACGUGAUCACGAACAGCAAACUUCCUCUUCCCUCAUCCGCCAUGGACGCAACUCGCAAGCACCAGGUUUCGUUGAGGGGCGCGAGCGCGAGGGAGAUCACGAGGGACGCUCUUCUCGAGAAGGUGUCUCAGGAGAGGGAGGCCCGGAGCUACGCGAGGCGCGCCAAUGCAGCUGCGCUGUUCAUUCAGAGAGUAUGGAGGCGUUACCAUGUGACAAGAAUGGCAGCUUUGCAUUUUCGAGAAGAAUGGGAUGCCUUGGUGAAUCAUCAUUCUGGUUUGAUGACCGGAACAUGGAUUUCUUGCAGCCUUUUGCGACCUUUCCUCUUCUUUGUUAGAUGCUUGUCUGUCCAGCGUCAUACUAUUCAACCCAGAGAUGUUGCCUGCUUGGAGAAGUGCUUUAAGAUUCUUUUGGAGAGUAUUCACUCUACUGAUCUGAGGAGAAACUUUUGCUGCUUGGCCAUCGGCACACUUGAAGAGAGAAGAACCUGGAAUUUUCAGGCACAGAAGCUGAUCAUACUGUGCUCCUUCAUUCUUGCAUCAUGUGACACAAAUCAUCCUGGUUCCAAAGAUAUGGUUGCUCUUACCUCACUAGCAAUGCGUCUACCGGUUGUCUUAACUGAUCGCAAUGGAUGGAAGAUUUCACCUCAGGAUCAUUUCAGGGAUGUUGAUCUAGCUGUCAAGAAUUUGAUCUGCUUUAUGGGAAGUAAGAGUGGGCUUUACGUAUCUGUUAGAAAGUACAUCAUGAAACUGGAUGUUUUUUUGCCAUCACAAUGCGCUGGUCUGGCACAGACCGAAGAUAGAUUCUUGAUCACAGCAAGUGCAUUAACUUUAGCUCUCCGGCCAUUUCACGUGAUAAAGUCCAAUAAAGAUGGACCAAGCCUUGUGGAUAUUGACUGUGCUCCCACACAGUACUGUAUAUCUCUCCUGACAAUUCCUUGGCUUCUUCAACGGUUACCAGCUUUUCUGGUUCCUGCUUUGAAGCAUAAAUCUGUUCUUUCACCAUGCUUCCAGACUCUUCUGAUGUUGAGAGGAAAAUUUUUAUCGGACAUGUCAGAUAUUCAUCAGCAAGGAACUUUCUGUUGGCAUAAGGCAAUUCCUCCAGUUGGUUGGGCUCUUGCAAAUGUCAUAUGCCUAAUGACAGGGAAUGACAAUGGUUCUCUAGAAACUCCAAUAUUUUGUCAAGAUGUAGAACAUGGAUUAUAUGUUCGAGUUGUUAUUACUCUAGCAGAAAACUUCUUGGAUUGGAUUGAUAAUGCUAGAUCCUUAAUAAAGGAAAAUCAAAGAUGUGAAUGUGACUGUGGAACUUUCGAGGGGUCCACCAACUUUUCUAUCUUUAAGAAAGAGUCCGUAUCGGGGCUUUCAGAAAGGUCUUACGUGGAGUUACUGAGGCCUGUUUAUCAUCAGUCACAUCUGACAGACCUUUUGGCUGUCUUGAGUACAGAUAUGUGUGCUCAGGGAGCUGAAAUGCUGGCAUCAGAGAAUUUGGAUAAUUUGGGAAAGUUGGAACUGGUUCACAUUUCGUACUUCUACUCUUAUAUGCUCAGAUUAUUUUCAGUACUGAACCCUGUGGCUGGAUCAUUGCCUAUCCUUAACAUGCUAUCCUUUACUCCUGGAUUUCUUGUCAGCUUGUGGAGAUCGCUGGAAACUAAUAUUUUUCAUGGUGCCUCUGAUCGCGCAAGAGAUUAUCCUGGGAGCAGAAAAAAUGGCAUUUUGGAUGUAAGACAGCAGACGUCUAAGUUUGGAGGUGGUAAAUGGACCAGUGUAUUGCAGAUGAUCACUGGCAAGUCUCAGGCCAGUGCUGGUAGUGGUCUUACGGACUCGACUGAUUCUCAUAUUAGCUCUGGCUUGGUGGAUGAAGAUUCUUGUGAUGUGUGGGAUGUAGAGCUUCUGAGGUCUGGCCCUCAAGGUCUUUCUAAAGAUAUGUCUUGUCUGCUGCAUCUGUUCUGUGCAACCUAUUCACAUCUUCUGCUUGUGCUUGAUGACAUAGAGUUCUAUGAAAAACAGGUUCCUUUCAAGCUUGAGGAGCAAAGGAGAAUUACAUCGGCACUCAAUACACUUGUUUAUAGUGGCUUGUCUCGUAGCAGUUGUCUGCAGAAUAAACCAAUGAUGGAGUCUGCAACCAAGUGCUUGCAUUUAAUGUAUGAAAGGGAUUGCAGGCACCAGUUUUGUCCCCCUGAUUUGUGGCUUUCGCCUGCUAGAAAGAGCCGACCUCCUAUUGCAAUAGCUGCGAGAACUCAUGAUGUUCUUUCGACCAAAUCAGAUGAUUUAUUGUUGGUUUCCAGCAUGGGCUCUAUUAUCACAACUAUGCCACAUGUAUAUCCAUUUGAAGAAAGAGUUGAGAUGUUCAGAGAAUUUAUCAAGAUGGAUAAAGUCUCUCGAGUCAUGGCGGGUGAAGUAGCAGGGCCUGGUUCUAGAAAUAUUGAGAUAGUCAUUCGGAGGGGGAAUAUUGUCGAAGAUGGAUUUCGACAAUUGAACACCUUGGGUUCAAGAUUGAAGUCAUCUAUCCAUGUAUCCUUUGUGAGUGAAUGUGGACUUCCAGAGGCUGGUCUAGACUAUGGUGGAUUGUCUAAGGAGUUCUUAACUGAUUUGUCAAAAGCUGCCUUCUCGCCCGAGUAUGGACUAUUCACCCAAACCUCAACUGAAGACAGGCUUCUGAUGCCGAAUAUAUCUGCAAAGUAUCUCGAAUAUGGAUUGCAGAUGAUUGAAUUUCUUGGAAGGAUUGUUGGUAAAGCUCUCUAUGAGGGAAUAUUGUUAGAUUACUCUUUUUCACAUGUCUUUGUUCAAAAGUUGUUGGGACGAUACAGCUUCCUUGAUGAACUGUCAACACUUGAUCCUGAGGUUUAUAGAAAUCUUAUGUAUAUUAAGCACUUCGAUGGUGAUGUAAAGGAACUGUCUCUGGACUUUACAAUUACAGAGGAAUCUUUUGGUAAAAAUCAUGUUUUUGAACUCAGACCUGGUGGCAGGGAUAUCUGCGUGACAAAUGAGAACAAGAUGCAGUAUAUUCAUGCAAUUGCAGAUUAUAAGCUUAAUCGGCAGAUACUGGCAUUUGCAAAUGCUUUCUACAGAGGGUUAACGGAUCUCAUAUCACCAUCGUGGCUUAAGUUAUUUAAUGCAUCUGAAUUUAAUCAGUUGCUUUCUGGUGGAUACCAUGAUAUUGAUGUCGAUGAUUUGAGAAGUAAUACACGCUAUACUGGUGGUUAUUCUGAGGGAAGCCGGACGGUAAAACUUUUCUGGGAGGUAAUGAAAGGAUUUGAGCCAAAAGAGCGGUGCAUGCUUCUUAAGUUUGUGACAAGUUGUUCUCGAGCUCCUUUACUGGGGUUUAAACACUUGCAGCCAACUUUUACUAUCCAUAAGGUUGCUUGUGAUGCACCUGUCUGGGCAACAUUUGGAGGUCAGGAUGUCGAGAGACUUCCAUCUGCUUCCACAUGCUACAAUACCUUGAAGCUUCCCACAUACAAGCGUGCAAGCACGAUGAGAUCAAAGCUUCUUUACGCGAUUAGUUCCAACACAGGGUUUGAACUUUCUUAGCAGCAUUCUAUCCACACUACCGCUUCUGGUAAUUACUCUUUUUGUGAUCUGCUCAUCUUAGUGGUUUAGCUUGGCAAGAGGUUGUGAAUAUUUGAAUGCUUUAUUAUAUAAUUAAUAGUCCCACUUUACCAAUAGAUUGACGGGCAUCAGGCAUGGUAUUAGUUUUUAUUUUCUCUUGUUACAUAGAUCAUGGGUGGUCUAUGACUGCAGAUGAUUAGACCUGCGGAUCAUUCUUAUCAUUUUAAAACACUAGUGUGUCCUUAAGUAGGCACGGAUUAUGAGGUAAAGUGGAAUGAUAUCUUGAGUGUAAGAGUAAGUAGACACAACGUUUUCCUCUUCUUUAUAGAAGUUGCUAUGAAGCAGUUAUUUCAAAAAACACAUUCUACUGUACAUCAACAAAUAAAAUUGUAUAGGAUUGCUGCUUAUCCCACUAAAUUAGUGUUGCUGCUUCUCUUUUGUCAUGUUCUUGUCCAUAUCAUCACAUUAAUAUAACAUUACCAGGGUUACACAAUCAUUAUUAGUCCCUGUAUAAGUAAGGGAAGAAAGCAGGGAGGAUCUUAUUGUUCGAAGAAGCAUCAAGCAACCGUUGCUACUAAUAGCCAUUAACACUUGAAGUAUAUUGGAAAUUCGGAUCCACAAACAAUUUAAAGCAAACUAAAUCUUUUUAACUAGUCAUUGGAUCUCCUUAUAUAUGCCCCUAUAUCCUUCUUUUCAAGAUGAGAAGGCUACUAUAUAUCAUUGUAGCUACAAUGCUGAUAUGCUUCUUACACUCAAGAAAUGAGAGAGAAUCCUUGAGAAAGGAGUGCUCCUGCCAAGGCCAUGUUAGCGGCUUCAGAGGGAUGGAAUCCAUCCCAAAAAACGUAACCGGUAGCAUUUGUGCAUGUUCCAAUGGACCUUGCAUUGCAAAGCAAGGAUGUUUCCACUGUACCUGUUCCACAGCAGGCCUUCGUAGAUUCAAAGAACCCUGCAACAAGAGACCAAUUCAACAAUGAAAAUUUGGUUCGCUCUUCACUGUCAGUUGGCCUGGCAUUGCAAAGCAUCUCAUGUUCUCAUGCAGUGGUUACAAAGAGACUGACGAUGAGACAAUAACAUUAAUGUCAUGGAAAAUAGUGGGGAAAUCGUGCCGUUACGGCACGAGUAGCUUACCAUUCUCAGCAGGUUUUGUGACCAGGUCCAAGAGGGGCUGGUAGAUGUCGAAGACCACAAGUUUGAGACCUGGGAGCCUUUUCUGCAAGCUCUGAGAUGUGCUAUUUAGCUUAUUAUUGAACAAAACCGCGUCUUGGUUCAAUCUUGCUACACACUGGGCGCUUCCGGAUCCAAAGAGAGUUCUGGCUGCCGGCAAACAUCCAGUUGGGGGUAGGCUUGUCACUCCAAUUUUCCUCGCUCCCGCUCCAUAGAGAUCCUGCUAUGUAAUUUUGGUGUCAUAAAAGCAGUUCCGAUUGUGUACAGCAAAUGUGUCUAAUUUCAUAAAUGAGUUUCCCAUAAGUUGUCUAUUAGAAAAAGAAAGGUUUCCCUGACGCUUCUUGUACUUUGGUGAUUAAUCAGUAUAUAAUACGAGUUUGUAAAAGUUUGAGAUUA